UAAGGAAUACUGCUCAAUGGGAGAAAUCCUGAAGCAGCAACGCCGCGUGGAGGAUGAAGGGUCUAUGACUUGUAAACUCCUGUAAAGAAGGAAAAAAUUCCCAUUAGAUGGGAGAUGAUGGUACUUCUGGAGUAAGCCCCGGCUAACUACGUGCCAGCAGCCGCGGUAAUACGUAGGGGGCAAGCGUUGUCCGGAUUUACUGGGUGUAAAGGGUGCUCAGGCGGAUUUGUAAGUCCGAGGUGAAAUCUUACAGCUUAACUGUGAAACUGCCUUUGAUACUGCAAGCCUAGAGUAUGGAAGAGAGCGAUGGAAUAUCUGGUGUAGCAGUGAAAUGCGUAGAUAUCAGAUAGAACACCAAUGGCGAAGGCAGUCACUUGGGCCAUUACUGACGCUAAAGCACGAAAGCGUGGGUAGCAAACA
Molecule: ribosomal RNA, 420 nt
Filed under: uncultured bacterium
Lineage: Bacteria
Description: bacterial SSU rRNA
Rfam family: Bacterial small subunit ribosomal RNA
Source: RNAcentral